Haliotis rufescens (red abalone) is the source of this 973-nucleotide long non-coding RNA. RefSeq lists it as uncharacterized. Lineage: Eukaryota; Metazoa; Mollusca; Gastropoda; Lepetellida; Haliotidae. The record is from RefSeq and is a predicted model, not a curated record. The transcript is spliced from 3 exons.
AAUUUAGACCCCAUUAUCAACUGCAUCAGUUCCGGAAGUCGUCUGCUGCGUCUUACCAGAGUCACGUGAUAUCGACGGUGGCACUAUUUUGGGUCAGAAAACGCCGAGGAGUCUUCACGUGAACUUCGAGGCAGCAACACGGCUAUCGGCACCGGUGUGAGCGACAGACAAGCUUGAUGAUGCGACCGUGGUUGUUAGCCCUGUUCCUCAUGAUUGUAGGAGGGGCCUACUUGGUGCGCGCGCAGGGUGAGGUUCAGCCGGAACCCGCCACCUCCACCGCCGAACCGGAACCAGUCUUCAAUGCCACCGAACCAGAACCGGAAUCGACGGCUGAGACGGUUGCCGAGACAACGCCCAGCUCCACCGCGCAUGCGUGUUUACACAUGCUCAGCUACGUCGUGGUCUUCGUUGUCAUGGUGAUGGCACAGUAAACCAUUUCAGCAGCUACGUCAUCGCUUCAAAUGUGAAACAUAUCGCAACAAUGUCCUUGCUCAUCGAGGAGAGUCGACAAUUUCGGAACAGUAAUGACGUCAUAGGAAGACAUCCCGAAAUGUCAGAGACGUCACUUGACCUGAUCCGGCCUUGAACUCUGACCUCCAAGGAAUAUCAUUCAUCUUGUACGACCAUCAUCACGCCCAUUGAGCCAUUCCUUGUCAUCACGAUAUAUCCUGUCAUGUUGAUGUUUGAGUAUUUGAUCGCACACGUGCCUUUACUUCACGACAUCGACAGGCGAUAGAUAUAGGUACCAGUGUCAUUCCGCCAUUGUAAAUGUGUACUCGAUUGUGUCUUGUGUUUAACUUAUUGUCCAAGCUAUGUGUUUCUGAUUGGUUCGUUGACGUGUUGUCGGUGUCACGUGUUCUUUGUAGUAGAAGAUCCCAUCAACCAGGCCCACGCGGGAAGCCUAUGUGUUCAAAUGUAAAAAAAUAUAUAUACAUCUUUUAGAUACCUAAUAAAGUCAGCUCUUGUGAACUCG